Molecule: ribosomal RNA, 169 nt
Filed under: uncultured bacterium
Lineage: Bacteria
Description: partial 16S ribosomal RNA
Rfam family: Bacterial small subunit ribosomal RNA
Source: RNAcentral
GUGGCACCAGGCGAGAAUCAUUCACAAUGGGCGAAAGCCUGAUGGUGUGACGCCGCGUGGAGGAUGAAGGUCUUCGGAUUGUAAACUCCUGUCAUGUGAGAGUAAAGCCGGACGUUAACUGCGUGCCGGUCUGAGAGUAUCACAAGAGGAAGAGACGGCUAACUCUGUG